AGACUUGCUCGCAAUUCUGGUGCUCGCGCGCGUGGAUCUCUCGCGCGCGGUUAAACGGGAAGCAGGAAGCGGUCGGUCCUUUCACGGAACGUCCGCCAACUUGCGCUGCCCCCGCAACGGUAAGCGAAAGCCGCGCGCUUCGAUUCAUGCGCGGCAAAGCCGGCUUCGGUGCAUGUGCUUUAUUCAGCACAUGCAUGGCUCCACUGCGCAACGUGUUACGCGCGGGAAGGUGAAGCGGCGUUUUCGUCAGCCCGGAUACCGGCCAGAAAAAUCGGACACUA
RNAcentral lists this non-coding RNA (281 nucleotides) under Burkholderia humi (ex Srinivasan et al. 2013). The record is from RNAcentral. Lineage: Bacteria; Pseudomonadati; Pseudomonadota; Betaproteobacteria; Burkholderiales; Burkholderiaceae.